Molecule: long non-coding RNA, 151 nt
Organism: Amblyraja radiata (thorny skate)
Lineage: Eukaryota; Metazoa; Chordata; Chondrichthyes; Rajiformes; Rajidae
Exons: 2
Source: RefSeq, a predicted model, not a curated record
GAUAAUACACUGUCCUCCAAUCAAGCAUCAGGCACUAAACUCGUUUCUUCAAAGGAAGAUGAGUCAUCUGUCAUCUAUGCUCAAAUAGCAACAACAAAAACAUGAAUACUCUGAAGACAGUGGAAAGUAAAGACUUGGACUUUCACAAGUG